GACGAACGCUGGCGGCGUGCUUAACACAUGCAAGUCGAACGGAAAGGCCUGCUUUCCCUUGUGGAUUGCGGGUACUCGAGUGGCGAACGGGUGAGUAACACGUGAGUGAUCUGCCCCCAACUUGGGUAUAAGCCUGGGAAACUGGGUCUAAUUCCCGAUAGGACUGCAGGGUGGUGCCUGUGGUGGAAAACGAUUUUCUAGUGGUUGGGGAUGAGCUCGCGGCCUAUCAGCUUGUUGGUGGGGUAAUGGCCUACCAAGGCGGCGACGGGUAGCCGGCCUGGGAGGGUGGACGGCCACAUUGGGACUGAGAUACGGCCCAGACUCCUACGGGAGGAAGGAGUGGGGAAUAUUGCACAAUGGGCGGAAGCCUGAUGCAGCGACGCCGCGUGGGGGAUGACGGCCUUCGGGUUGUAAACUCCUUUCGACCGCGAGGAAGCCACCUGGUUGGAAGGGUGGUGACGGUAGUGGUAGAAGAAGCACCGGCUAACUACGUG
RNAcentral lists this ribosomal RNA (494 nucleotides) under uncultured bacterium. RNAcentral describes it as "partial 16S ribosomal RNA". It matches the Rfam family "Bacterial small subunit ribosomal RNA", at positions 28 to 507 of the family's 1533-position model. The record is from RNAcentral.